Molecule: non-coding RNA, 23 nt
Filed under: Arabidopsis thaliana (thale cress)
Lineage: Eukaryota; Viridiplantae; Streptophyta; Magnoliopsida; Brassicales; Brassicaceae
Source: RNAcentral
CUUACACGUGUCAACAUCUGAUC